This 497-nucleotide ribosomal RNA is filed under the name uncultured bacterium. RNAcentral describes it as "partial 16S ribosomal RNA". It matches the Rfam family "Bacterial small subunit ribosomal RNA", at positions 28 to 507 of the family's 1533-position model. The record is from RNAcentral.
GAUGAACGCUGGCGGCGUGCCUAAUACAUGCAAGUCGAGCGAACGGACGAGAAGCUUGCUUCCCUGCUGUUAGCGGCGGACGGGUGAGUAACACGUGGAUAACCUACCUAUAAUACUGGGAUAACUUCGGGAAACCGGAGCUACUACCGGCUAAUAUUUUGAACCGCAUGGUUCAAAAGUGAAUGACGGUCUUGCUGUCACUUAUAGAUGGAUCCGCGCUGCAUUAGCUAGUUGGUAAGGUAACGGCUUACCAAGGCAACGAUGCAUAGCCGACCUGAGAGGGUGAUCAGCCACACUGGAACUGAGACACGGUCCAGACUCCUACGGGAGGCAGCAGUAGGGAAUCUUCCGCAAUGGGCGAAAGCCUGACGGAGCAACGCCGCGUGAGUGAUGAAGGUCUUCGGAUCGUAAAACUCUGUUAUUAGGGAAGAACAUAUGUGUAAGUAACUGUGCACAUCUUGACGGUACCUAAACAGAAAGCCACGGCUAACUACGUG